RNAcentral lists this ribosomal RNA (484 nucleotides) under uncultured bacterium. RNAcentral describes it as "partial 16S ribosomal RNA". It matches the Rfam family "Bacterial small subunit ribosomal RNA", at positions 30 to 507 of the family's 1533-position model. The record is from RNAcentral.
AUUGAACGCUGGCGGCAGGCCUAACACAUGCAAGUCGAGCGGAUGAAGGGAGCUUGCUCCUGGAUUCAGCGGCGGACGGGUGAGUAAUGCCUAGGAAUCUGCCUGGUAGUGGGGGAUAACGUCCGGAAACGGGCGCUAAUACCGCAUACGUCCUGAGGGAGAAAGUGGGGGAUCUUCGGACCUCACGCUAUCAGAUGAGCCUAGGUCGGAUUAGCUAGUUGGUGGGGUAAAGGCCUACCAAGGCGACGAUCCGUAACUGGUCUGAGAGGAUGAUCAGUCACACUGGAACUGAGACACGGUCCAGACUCCUACGGGAGGCAGCAGUGGGGAAUAUUGGACAAUGGGCGAAAGCCUGAUCCAGCCAUGCCGCGUGUGUGAAGAAGGUCUUCGGAUUGUAAAGCACUUUUAGUUGGUAGGAAGGGCAGUAAGUUAAUACCUUGCUGUUUUGACGUUACCAACAGAAUAAGCACCGGCUAACUUCGUG